UACGGAGGGUGCAAGCGUUAAUCGGAAUAACUGGGCGUAAAGGGCACGCAGGCGGUCUUUUAAGUCGGAUGUGAAAUCCCCGGGCUGAACCUGGGAACAGCAUUUGAGACUGGCAGGCUAGAGUACUUUAGGGAGGGGUAGAAUUCCAGGUGUAGCGGUGAAAUGCGUAGAGAUGUGGAGGAAUACCGAAGGCGAAGGCGGCCCCUUGGGAAUGUACUGACGCUCAUGUGCGAAAGCGUGGGGAGCAAACAGG
RNAcentral lists this ribosomal RNA (253 nucleotides) under uncultured bacterium. RNAcentral describes it as "partial 16S ribosomal RNA". It matches the Rfam family "Bacterial small subunit ribosomal RNA", at positions 524 to 776 of the family's 1533-position model. The record is from RNAcentral.